GCCGCUGUGGCGCAACGGUAGCGCGUUGCUUUCCUACUUGCUCUAAUAAGUAAGCGUUAGGCAAAGGUUGCGGGUUCGAUCCCCGUCAGCGGUU
Molecule: non-coding RNA, 94 nt
Organism: Irpex rosettiformis
Lineage: Eukaryota; Fungi; Basidiomycota; Agaricomycetes; Polyporales; Irpicaceae
Source: the annotation of a GenBank genome assembly